Molecule: long non-coding RNA, 1096 nt
Organism: Oncorhynchus gorbuscha (pink salmon)
Lineage: Eukaryota; Metazoa; Chordata; Actinopteri; Salmoniformes; Salmonidae
Exons: 3
Source: RefSeq, a predicted model, not a curated record
UUGUAGUUAAGUCUUUAGGUAGACUUGCUGUCUGCCAUACAGUCAACAGCUUUUAAUAAUGUGAAGCUUUUAAAUGGAUGGCUAUGGCAAUACUAUGGCUCUUGAGAAAGAGGUGUUCUAUCAUACACUACGGAAGAGCCAUAACCCAAUCACAUCAGACUACAAAAGAGAGAUGAUUUGAAACAUUAGGAAAUGCAGAAAUGCUCUCAGACUACAAAGGCAAUUUCAGUUACGGUGGAAUGGCAAAUGACCAACGGGGAACAUAAAAUGGGGGAGAGUCUCCGCCAGGAAUUUACGACCUGAGAUAACAGAACCUGGGUGUAGGAGAGAGUGAGAGAGAGGGGGAAGACACGGUCUACACCCAGAAAGGGCCAAGUCAUGACACUAUGCAUCUGUCUACUGAAGAGGAAACAGAGGAGAAAAUGAAAUGGGCAAGCAGGCAGACAGGCAGGCAUUGGUUCAGCAGAUCAGAGGCGCUGGGUGAGAGGAACAAGCAACAGGUUUUGAGUUCAUUUCGACGCCAUCUGCGGAUGCCAACGAUAGAAGAAACGGCUUGGUGGGUCAGACAGAGUUUGCAUCUGGGAGAGAAAGCUGGCGUUUGCUGUGGACUGGAAGCCGGGGAGGAACUGCUCUUUAAACACUGCCUAAGCCUGAAAGAAAACAUUAAUGAAAUGAGGAAGGGAAAGUUAUACCGGGACUGAUAAAUUAUUUCCUGAAUUAUGUCCGUUUUGAUAGGGAUUGAUUUCUACUUUAGGGAUGGAAGGAAAAAGGCAUCCUUUUGAUAGCCUGGUCCCAGAUCUGUUUGUGCUAUAAUGUCAACUUCUUGUCAUGCCAAACAUGUAAUGUUUGAUAUAAUGUCAUGUGUUGACCUUCAGAAGAAAAGAGAGAACAGCACAGGGAGUUUGAACCUGCUCAGAGUGUAAGAGAGACCGCAUAUUUGCUCGUAGCCUGAAUAUGAAAGGUGCAGGCCAAGGAGGUGUGGCUGUGGCACGGUACAGUAUACAGCACUACAGUCCCUCUCUGCUCUCAGACUGUUGGGCCAGAGCACUCAUUUCCUUAGAGAGAGAGAGAGAGAGAGAGAGAGAGAGAGAGAGAG